Molecule: ribosomal RNA, 406 nt
Filed under: uncultured bacterium
Lineage: Bacteria
Description: partial 16S ribosomal RNA
Rfam family: Bacterial small subunit ribosomal RNA
Source: RNAcentral
AUUGAACGCUGGCGGCAGGCCUAACACAUGCAAGUCGAACGAGCGGCGGACGGGUGAGUAAUGUCUGGGAAACUGCCUGAUGGAGGGGGAUAACUACUGGAAACGGUAGCUAAUACCGCAUACCAUCAGAUGUGCCCAGAUUGGAUUAGCUAGUUGGUGGGGUAACGGCUCACCAAGGCGACGAUCCCUAGCUGGUCUGAGAGGAUGACAAGCCACACGGGAACUGAGACACGGUCCAGAAUCCUACGGGAGGCAGCAGUGGGGAAUAUUGCACAAUGGGGGCAAGCCUGAUGCAGCCAUGCCGCGUGUAUGAAGAAGGCCUGAGGGUUGUAAAGUACUUUAAGCGGGGAGGCGUUACCCGCAGAAGAAGCACCGGCUAACUCCGUGCCAGCAGCCGCGGUAAUUC